Molecule: non-coding RNA, 92 nt
Organism: Pleurotus pulmonarius
Lineage: Eukaryota; Fungi; Basidiomycota; Agaricomycetes; Agaricales; Pleurotaceae
Source: the annotation of a GenBank genome assembly
UCUCUGUUAGUAUAUCGGUUAGUACACGCGCCUGUCAUCAUGUGGUCGUCCCAUGUGCGCGCGAAAGCUGGGUUCGACUCCCAGACAGAGAG